This 614-nucleotide ribosomal RNA is filed under the name uncultured bacterium. RNAcentral's name for it is "bacterial SSU rRNA". The stretch from base 1 to 537 matches the Rfam family "Bacterial small subunit ribosomal RNA", at positions 338 to 873 of the family's 1533-position model. The record is from RNAcentral.
CCUACGGGAGGCAGCAGUGGGGAAUUUUGGACAAUGGGCGCAAGCCUGAUCCAGCCAUGCCGCGUGAGUGAAGAAGGCCUUCGGGUUGUAAAGCUCUUUCGGCAGGAACGAAAUGGUUCGUGUUAAUACCACGGACUGAUGACGGUACCUGAAGAAGAAGCACCGGCUAACUACGUGCCAGCAGCCGCGGUAAUACGUAGGGUGCAGGCGUUAAUCGGAAUUACUGGGCGUAAAGCGUGCGCAGGCGGUUUCUUAAGUCAGAUGUGAAAGCCCCGGGCUUAACCUGGGAACUGCGUUUGAAACUGGGAGACUUGAGUGUGGCAGAGGGGGGUGGAAUUCCACGUGUAGCAGUGAAAUGCGUAGAUAUGUGGAGGAACACCGAUGGCGAAGGCAGCCCCCUGGGUUAACACUGACGCUCAUGCACGAAAGCGUGGGGAGCAAACAGGAUUAGAUACCCUGGUAGUCCACGCCCUAAACUAUGUCACUGGUUGUCGGGGUAUUGAUUCCUUCGUACGAGACUACGCGUGUAGUGACGCGNGGAGUACGGCGCGAGUAAACGUAACGUAAGUAGUUAGUUAGUCGNGNGAGNGCGCGACGACGACGAGGAGGAGGAG